RNAcentral lists this transfer RNA (71 nucleotides) under Anisakis simplex (herring worm). It matches the Rfam family "tRNA". From Rfam's summary of the family: Transfer RNA (tRNA) molecules are approximately 80 nucleotides in length. Their secondary structure includes four short double-helical elements and three loops (D, anti-codon, and T loops). Further hydrogen bonds mediate the characteristic L-shaped molecular structure. tRNAs have two regions of fundamental functional importance: the anti-codon, which is responsible for specific mRNA codon recognition, and the 3' end, to which the tRNAs corresponding amino acid is attached (by aminoacyl-tRNA synthetases). tRNAs cope with the degeneracy of the genetic code in two manners: having more than one tRNA (with a specific anti-codon) for a particular amino acid; and 'wobble' base-pairing, i.e. permitting non-standard base-pairing at the 3rd anti-codon position. The record is from Rfam by way of RNAcentral. Lineage: Eukaryota; Metazoa; Nematoda; Chromadorea; Rhabditida; Anisakidae.
UCUGCCGUAGCUCAGAGGUAGAGCCCCGACCGGUAAUUGGUACUUGGCGGGUUCGAUUCCCGUUCGCGGAC